CCCACUCCCAACCCAAGAACCUCUGCUGCCUGUAUUGGCUAGUUAAACAUUGGUGUGCACAGCAAAGGGGCCUUGUCACCUUUGGAGGAUAUGCUGUGCCCCCCAGAGUGAAUCAGGAGGUUCUACAGUA
Molecule: small nucleolar RNA, 130 nt
Organism: Microtus oregoni (creeping vole)
Lineage: Eukaryota; Metazoa; Chordata; Mammalia; Rodentia; Cricetidae
Product: small nucleolar RNA SNORA68
Exons: 1
Source: RefSeq, a predicted model, not a curated record